CAGCCGCCACGGGAAUACGAAGGGGGCUAGCGUUGCUCGGAAUCACUGGGCGUAAAGGGUGCGUAGGCGGGUUUUUAAGUCAGAGGUGAAAUCCUGGAGCUCAACUCCAGAACUGCCUUUGAUACUGAAAGUCUUGAGUAUGGGAGAGGUGAGUGGAACUGCGAGUGUAGAGGUGAAAUUCGUAGAUAUUCGCAAGAACACCAGUGGCGAAGGCGGCUCACUGGCCCAUAACUGACGCUGAGGUGCGAAAGCGUGGGGAGCAAACAGGAUUAGAGACCCGCGUAGUCCCUGUCUCUUAUAC
RNAcentral lists this ribosomal RNA (301 nucleotides) under uncultured bacterium. RNAcentral describes it as "partial 16S ribosomal RNA". It matches the Rfam family "Bacterial small subunit ribosomal RNA", at positions 509 to 807 of the family's 1533-position model. The record is from RNAcentral.